GACGAACGCUGGCGGUGUGCUUAACACAUGCAAGUCGAACGGUAAGGCCCUUUCUGGGGUACACGAGUGGCGAACGGGUGAGUAACACGUGAGUAACCUGCCCUCAUCUCUGGGAUAACAGUCGGAAACGGUUGCUAAUACUGGAUAUGAGCCUGCAAGGCAUCUUGUGGGUUGGAAAGAUUUUUUGGUUGGGGAUGGACUCGCGGGCUAUCAGCUUGUUGGUGAGGUAGUGGCUCACCAAGGCUUCGACGGGUAGCCGGACUGAGAGGGCGACCGGCCACAUUGGGACUGAGAUACGGCCCAAGCUGCUACGGGAGGCAGCAGUGGGGAAUAUUGCACAAUGGACGGAAGUCUGGUGCAGCAGAGCCGCGUGCGGGAUGACGGCCUUCGGGUUGUAAACCGCUUUCAAUUGUGACGAAGCUUUUUGUGACGGUAGCAGUAGAAGAAGCACCGGCUAACUACGUG
RNAcentral lists this ribosomal RNA (465 nucleotides) under uncultured bacterium. Its description in RNAcentral is "partial 16S ribosomal RNA". It matches the Rfam family "Bacterial small subunit ribosomal RNA", at positions 28 to 507 of the family's 1533-position model. The record is from RNAcentral.